This 508-nucleotide ribosomal RNA is filed under the name uncultured Entrophospora. Its description in RNAcentral is "SSU rRNA". It matches the Rfam family "Eukaryotic small subunit ribosomal RNA", at positions 569 to 1076 of the family's 1831-position model. The record is from RNAcentral. Lineage: Eukaryota; Fungi; Glomeromycota; Glomeromycetes; Entrophosporales; Entrophosporaceae.
AGCAGCCGCGGUAAUUCCAGCUCCAAUAGCGUAUAUUAAAGUUGUUGCAGUUAAAAAGCUCGUAGUUGAAUUUCGGGAUUGACGUGAUGGUCGUGCCUUAAGGGGUAUGAACUGUCGCAGUUGAUUUCUCACCUUCUGGAGAAGCUUGAUGUCCUUAAUUGGGUGUCAUGUGGAACCAGGACCUUUACCUUGAAAAAAUUAGAGUGUCUAAAGCAGGCAUUUUGCUCGAAUACAUUAGCAUGGAAUAAUAGAAUAGGACGGCAUGGUUCUAUUUUGUUGGUUUCUAGGAUCACCGCAAUGAUUAAUAGGGAUAGUUGGGGGCAUUAGUAUUCAAUUGUCAGAGGUGAAAUUCUUGGAUUUAUUGAAGACUAACUACUGCGAAAGCAUUUGCCAAGGAUGUUUUCAUUAAUCAAGAACGAAAGUUAGGGGAUCGAAGACGAUCAGAUACCGUCGUAGUCUUAACCAUAAACUAUGCCGACUAGGGAUCGGAUGAUGUUAAUUUUUAAUU